UACGUAGGGUGCGAGCGUUGUCCGGAAUUAUUGGGCGUAAAGAGCUCGUAGGCGGUGUGUCGCGUCGGUCGUGAAAACUUGGGGCUUAACCCUGAGCUUGCGGUCGAUACGGGCAUCACUGGAGUUCGGCAGGGGAGACUGGAAUUCCUGGUGUAGCGGUGAAAUGCGCAGAUAUCAGGAAGAACACCCGUGGCGAAGGCGGUUCUCUGGGACGGUACUGACGCUGAGACGCGAAAGCGUGGGGAGCGAACAGG
RNAcentral lists this ribosomal RNA (254 nucleotides) under uncultured bacterium. RNAcentral's name for it is "partial 16S ribosomal RNA". It matches the Rfam family "Bacterial small subunit ribosomal RNA", at positions 524 to 776 of the family's 1533-position model. The record is from RNAcentral.